GGUGCAAUGGGUAAGAGAGAAAGGAUGCUGAACUCGCAUGUCACUCCCUUGUAGGAGAGGCAAAGCACCCAAGACCCGCUCUGGGGUGGUGAUAUUGACACAUCUUCUGUGACUGGAGUGACUCAGUCACAACAAAGAGGCUUUGGAAAGCUACUUUGUUUGGGUGCUGUGGGUGCUGGUGCUCGUCUCAAACCAUGAAGGGCUGGUUGUCAUGGCUGCCAAACUGUCCUCGGUUUAGAUGGAGCUGCAGGGCUUCAGCACUUCAAGCUACUUCUCUGCUACCCAAUUACAUGGUGCCAGGGGGACAUUCCCAGACAUUAAGACUGAGUCAUCAAUACUCUUAAACUGUUAGGAUGUCUGAAACAUGUCUGUGGUCCUUCAGAUGUUUCCUAGGCAUGGCCUGGAAGCCAGAAGGGUCUGGAGACCAUUCUUGGUGGGCAUUUGAGAUGAAACUGCCUUGGUUUGGCAGAAAAGAAGGUUGAAUAGUUUGGAUGUGGAAUAUCCCAUGCUGGCCAGACUCAGUGCCAGAGGACAAACCUGGGCAUGUCUGAUGCACUGUUAUAGACAUAGCCUCGGUGUCUCCAGCUGCCUGUCUUUAGGAUAGAGGGCCCUUUUAUUUAACAGAGGGGUUACAAAGGAUUGCAUAGUGCUUUAAAGGUCAUUGCUUCUGUUGACUGUUCAACUAAAUAUAAUACAGCGUGGCUUGACUGGAGCUGGUAAGGAAGGAGGUGGGUGAAAACACUCAUCUGGUUGCUUCCUCAUAUGUGAGGGAAGGAUGUGUCUGAAUUAGAAGUGGGUAAGCUGUGUUUACCUGUGUUUCCUUCUGGCUACAAAGCUAACUUUUACCUUGUUCUAUUCCUUCUGGUCACAACAGUGACAAAGCUAACUUUUACCUUGUUCUAUUCCUGACAUGCCUUUCAUUCACGUCUUUAUCAAAUAUCCCCACAAACUAAUGUUGAAUCCCCUACUUCGUUAGGCACAGCAGAAAACCUCAAGCCCAUCUUGUUGCCUGUGGACAGGCUGGGCACAUUGUCAGGACUAGUUUAUCCAGUUGCAGACUAACAGUCCUCCAGGCAGUUUGCUCCUUACCUCAUUACUUUGUCACUGACUGAAUUCCUGCAGUAAAUCUUUGUGCUUUGUCAUUUUACUGGAAGUCAUGUUGCUUCACCUUUACCUUCAGAGACAGCGAUGCCAGUCUCAGAGAGAUGACUUGCAGCAACCUUGCAGUGAUAUAUAUCUUCCACUUGCUGAUAUCCAGGUAGCUGUGCCAUCUCCAGAAUGAACUCUGUACCAGGCAGGCUGCCCAUGGCUUUCACUUGGAAAUCCCCCCAUUCCUAACCUUAAAGCAUCCUAUGCCAGUGAAUGCUGUUGGUACGCUGCCCUCUGAACGUUCUCAAAAAGCCAAGAGCUUAUCAGCGACAGUGGGGCAGAACAGAGUUCAGGUUACUGCCACCCUCCAGGAGCAGGCUGGGCAGAUUCACCUCCAGUAUCAACGUACCUCGCUUGCCAUCUCCUUGGAAAAUCUACUUCUGACCAAAAGACCUAGUAACUAUUUUGAACAAAACAGCAUUUCCCUUUUAGUUUUGCCUUUUAAGUGUGAAACCGUUGCAUUUGUAGAAUGCUUUGACCUGAGAAGUAAAAGUUUCUGCUGAAAAUGGCUCUGUGAUUUUACACCUGUGAUUCAGAGCAAAACCUGGGAAGAACACUGAAGGAACAACACACUGGGUGUAUGAAUCCACAUUCCCACCACAGAUGUGGAUAACAUGAUGGCUUCAUAAACACAGAAUUGUAGAAUUUUAGAAUAGUUAAGGUUGGAAAGACCUCUAAGAUCACCUAAUCCAACCAUCAGCCUGCCACCGUCAUGCCCACAGGCCACAUCCCUCAGUGCCACAUCUCCAUGGAUGUCUUCAACAUCUCCAGGGAUGGUGACUCCACCACAACUCUGUCUGGCAUUCAGUGCUCCCUGCAAGCACUUGACAGCCCUUUGCAUUGCUGCCUUUAUCUGCACACUGGAGGCCAACCUGCUGCCUGAAAGAAAAUCACUCUCAAAAUCACAGUGCCAGGGGAGCCUUCUUAGGAACACCGUAUUCAGGAUCCUUAUGAUCCCAGUCAGUGAUUUCCAAUGCACAGGAAUGCACAUAGAGGAUCUUCCUCUCUCAGGUUCACUGCUCUCCAAUGCAAGCCUGCAGCUGCAGUCCUCAGUUUGGGCUCUGUUGGUGGCACUGCACCGGCUGCUGGCUGCUGGCCCUCCCGGGCAGUGCUUUCCUGUACCUCCCCUCAUCACCUUGCUUGUGAGCCCAAGUCCUGACCUACAGGAUGCCAUGAUGAUCCUGCAUCACCUCCACUAGGGACAUGUUAAAUAUGCAGAAGCUGCGUCACCUCCCUUGACAGACAACUGUGGAGAUGUUUUUUGCAUGUGGGGCUGCCUAAGAGUCUGCAGACAGCUGGAGCCAGCCCGGAGCUCCCAGAAAUCACGAGGGAAGCCAGGCUGUGCAGCCACCUCCCAAGGAUAUCACAAGUCCCUGCUGGGUGCAUGCGUGGUGCUGUGAGGACCUCUCUUUGUGCAGGGCCAUUGCUCUGAGAGUGCUUCCCCUGCUGCUAUUGCAGCUCUCUGCAAGACUUCAUAUUUCUCAAGUGAUUUCCUUCCAGCCCCACAUUUGCGAAUGCUGAGGGCUGUGGCAAUUGAGUGAUCGAGCAUUCUCCCUGCCAGUGUUUUCUGCCCGGGCCUCGUGCUAACCCUCGGGGUUAUCAGAAAAGCCUUUUGUCAGACGUCAGCUGGGGCAGGAAUUGGCACGGAGACAGUGCUGCAAUACUGGAAGGAGUUGCACUUGUACUGGCAAAGGUGGAGAAUGAAGCCGUGGCAUUUAUGAUGCAUCAUCUCGCACAUGGUCACAGUGCCUGACGGUGCAAAGAAUUGCGGCUGUAAAAUUGCCCACAGCAGCUGAGCAUCCACUUUGCCUUGCCUCAUCCUCACGAUGCAGGACACUUUCAAGGAGCAGUUUCUCUCUGGUUUAACAGCCUGCAGGACUGCUCAGCUGCAUCUUGCAGAGAAUGCUUGACCAUGAGAUCCCACCCCCACACCCAUGGGGUGCGUGCACACAAAAAUGGGGCCACAUCCAUCAGGUAUGGACUAGAUGGGAGGCUGGAGGACAGCCCUCUAGAAGAAAGGAAGCCAUAAGUAGAGCUGCCUCCUUGCAUGGUGCCGCCUCCAAGAACCCCCAGGGCAGUGGCACAGCUCAGCUGCAACCCCCACCAGACCCUUGGGGCACAGCUACAGAGACUGAUGGAAAAUGAAACUUCAGCCCUGCUGGCAGCCACCCAGUUUCAACAAUUUUUUGUUUCAUUCUUGAAAGAAGGCAAAGGGGGAAGCUUUGUUUUCUCUCGAGCUUCUCAGAAAUGCUUAUUUGGGAAUGGGACAUUUUCAAAUGUCGUAUUUGGAUGGAAAAUGCCUUAUCUAGUAAUAAUAGUUAAUCUUCCUCCAGUCUGAGAUGCCUGAAAACAUCCCACUUGGCUCUCCUCCAUGCAGUGGACGGCUGACUCCCAGCCCUGCUUAAUGCAUGGGGGGACAUGGGGAGUAUGGGUUGCCCAGAAGCACUUGGGAAGGGGCUUGUUCCCAUGCUGUGCUUUGAAAGCAGUGAUCAAACCCUGAUGGAUUAAAUGCUCAGUGUGUUCCUGAGACUGGGCUGCAGCCCCCCAUAUAACCAUGAGUAAGAUACAGGCAAUUAAUGAUCUGCCAGGGGUGUUCCUCGACUCCCCGUCCUGUUACCAAAUCCUGUGUUACUCACUAGACCACACAUCCUCCCUCCUCUCUGAGUGGCAUCCGAGCAGCCUGGUCAGGGCGCAGUGUGCACAGCGAUGUCACCUCACAUUUAUCUAGGGAGAAGUUUCCCACACUCCUUCGUGGCUCUUCUUGUUUUGCUUCAGAGAUUUUGUUUUCCUGAAGAGUUAAAAUAAAUCUCAAACUGCGACUGCAGCACUUUUUUUUGAGCGCAGUGUUUGUUUGCUAGAUAAUCCUUUGAGGGAAGCAUUAAAAAGCAGCGUGGCGUCUUUGUCAUCAGUCCGGAGUCAUCUGAACAAGGCUGGCCAAGGGCUGUAAAUGUGGUGUGGCAUUUAUGCAUGACAGAAAGCACUUUCCAUCUCUCGGAGCUUGACUGCCAUUUCUCUUCCUUCUGGCCAUGAACUGCUGCUCACGGGCUUUCUCUGAUCCAGCGAGACACUGCGGCAAUGGCAGAGCACAACUGUUGUUCUGCUCACUCUGUGCUGCUUCAGAAGUGAUCUCAGACAGAGGACACCUUCAUCUCCUCUGGCCACAACACGGGGAGAUCUUUCACUGAGAGGGCAGUGAGGCGCUGGCACAGCUGCCCAUAGAAGCUGUGGUGCCCCAUCCCUGGAGGCACUCAA
Non-coding RNA from Coturnix japonica (Japanese quail), 4401 nucleotides. The record is from RefSeq and is a predicted model, not a curated record. NCBI's taxonomy places the organism in Eukaryota, Metazoa, Chordata, Aves, Galliformes, Phasianidae.